UUAAUUGAAGAGUUUGAUCAUGGCUCAGAUUGAACGCUGGCGGCAGGCCUAACACAUGCAAGUCGAGCGGAAACGGCAGUAUUGAAGCUUCGGUGGAUUUACUGGACGUCGAGCGGCGGACGGGUGAGUAACGGCUGGGAACCUGCCCUGACGAGGGGGAUAACCGUUGGAAACGACGGCUAAUACCGCAUAAUGUCUUGAUUCGUUAGAGUCAGGACCAAAGGUGGCCUCUACAUGUAAGCUAUCGCGUUGG
This 253-nucleotide ribosomal RNA is filed under the name Salinivibrio kushneri. RNAcentral describes it as "partial 16S ribosomal RNA". It matches the Rfam family "Bacterial small subunit ribosomal RNA", at positions 1 to 223 of the family's 1533-position model. Lineage: Bacteria; Pseudomonadati; Pseudomonadota; Gammaproteobacteria; Vibrionales; Vibrionaceae. The record is from RNAcentral.